Long non-coding RNA from Oncorhynchus kisutch (coho salmon), 873 nucleotides. RefSeq lists it as uncharacterized. The transcript has 4 exons. Lineage: Eukaryota; Metazoa; Chordata; Actinopteri; Salmoniformes; Salmonidae. The record is from RefSeq and is a predicted model, not a curated record.
AUGAUAUGUUACAAAUUACAAUUCCUAUAUGUCACAAUUUAAAAAAAUUAUAAUGUUACCAAUUUGCUAAACGUAUGGUACACUGUAUGUUACAAAUUCUAGCUAGGUGGCUAAUGGUAGCAACUAGCUAGCGUUAGCUAGGCUAGGGUUUAGGGGCUAUGGUUAAAGGGUUAAGGUUAGGGUUAGCUAAAAGGGUUAAGGUUAGGGGAAGGGUUAGCUAACAUGCUAAGUAGUAGCAAUGUUGCUAAUUAGAGAUUCAAACUUGCAAUUUAUGGCUUGCUUGAUGUUCGCGUUAUCCACCCACCUCGAUUAACCAUCCUCCUUUCGUUUUUGCCAUACAGAAUACGAAAUGCUCUGAGACCAGGUUGCGAGAGCUCCAAAAGGUGAACAAAACCAGCAGGCAGCUAGGGAGUGCCAAACACACUGGCAUGGCGUACAGAUGCAGGUUGAAAGCCUUCAGGAACAGAAGGUGGCAUUGCAGUCCAGCGUCACUGAAGUUGGGUUCUGGAUAGGACUGAAGGAGAAAGAGGAUACAGAGGGGACCUGGACAUGGCUUGAUGGGACUGAUCUGACUCAGGGGUACUGGGAAGACGGAGAGCCCAAUGACCACUAUGGAAUGGAGGACUUUGCGGCCAUCAAAAUAAAUCCCAUGAAGUUCUGGAAUGAUGCUACUUGUACAAGUGAAAUGCAAUCAAGGAAGGCUUAUAAAUGACUGUAAAAUGUCCAUUAUUUAAUUAAGUAAAUACAUAGAAAAUAAUAGGCAUUGGAAUCAAAUGUAAAUUGAAGUUGUACAUAGCAUAAGAUUGUAUCUGUUGAAAUAAAUUGUCAUACUGUAAAGUUGAACUCAUUCAUUUCUGUGUUUUGUAUCUUUUU